This 435-nucleotide ribosomal RNA is filed under the name uncultured Microgenomates group bacterium. RNAcentral describes it as "bacterial SSU rRNA". It matches the Rfam family "Bacterial small subunit ribosomal RNA", at positions 424 to 878 of the family's 1533-position model. The record is from RNAcentral.
UGUAAACUCCUUUUUAGCGGCCAUGAAGGUACCACUAGAAUAAGGAGCUACUAACUACGUGCCAGCAGUCGCGGUAAUACGGAGGCUACGAGCGUUACCCGGAUUUAUUGGGCGUAAAGGGUCUGUAGACGGUUUUCCAAGUCUGGUUUCAAAGCCCCCGACUCAAUCGGGGAAAGGGGUCAGAUACUGGGGAUACUAGAGUCAUAUCGGGGUUACUGGAAUUUUUGGGUGUAGGGGUUAAAUCCGUGGAUUCCAAAAAGAACACCAAGCGCGAAGGGGGGUAACUAGGUAUGUUACUGACGUUCAGAGACGAAAGCUAGGGUAGCAAAUCAGAUUAGAGACCUGAGUAGUCCUAGCUGUAAACAUUGUCCGUUAGUUCUUCUUCAAUUUAUUGGGGAGGGAUGUUAGCUAACGCGAUAAACGGAUCGCCUGGGG